AAAAUAUUAUAAAAAUAUAUUUGACACUAAUAAUCGACUAAACGCUAAUUAUUCAAUAAUUAAAAAUAAGCUUCUGUUCAUCAAACUCAACUUGACCUUGCUAGUUCUUUUCCGUUCAGCUACCGCGAUUGGAACAUGUCUUAUUCACCUGAAAGAAGAUCAGAAGAUUGGCCGGAGGAUUCAAAGAAUGGGCCAUCUAAGGAACCAGUCAGUUACGAUGGACCUCCGGGCAUGGAGCCCGAAGGAGCGUUGGACACAAAUUGGCAUCAAGUCGUGGAAAGCUUUGAUGACAUGAAUUUGAAGGAAGAGUUAUUACGAGGAAUUUAUGCAUAUGGUUUCGAAAAGCCAUCUGCAAUCCAGCAACGCGCUAUUAUGCCUUGCAUUCAAGGACGCGAUGUUAUAGCUCAGGCCCAGUCUGGAACUGGGAAAACUGCAACUUUCUCCAUUUCAAUUUUGCAACAUAUUGAUACUAGUAUUCGUGAAUGCCAAGCUCUAAUUCUGGCGCCCACCAGAGAGCUUGCUCAGCAGAUUCAAAAGGUGGUAAUAGCUCUUGGUGAUCACUUGAAUGCUAAAUGCCAUGCUUGCAUUGGAGGCACCAAUGUUCGCGAGGAUAUUCGCCAGUUGGAAAGUGGUGUUCACGUGGUGGUGGGUACCCCUGGACGCGUCUACGACAUGAUUACCCGCCGUGCCCUCCGCGCUAACACCAUUAAGCUGUUUGUGCUUGAUGAAGCUGAUGAAAUGUUGUCCCGAGGUUUCAAAGACCAAAUCCAUGAUGUAUUCAAGAUGUUGUCGGCUGAUGUCCAAGUUAUCCUGUUGUCGGCUACCAUGCCUGAUGAUGUCUUGGAAGUGUCGAGAUGCUUCAUGAGAGAGCCAGUUCGUAUUCUUGUGCAGAAAGAGGAGCUUACCCUAGAGGGUAUUAAGCAAUUCUUUAUCUCCAUUGAAAUGGAAGAGUGGAAAUUGGAGACCCUGUGCGACUUGUAUGAUACCCUCUCCAUCGCUCAGGCUGUUAUUUUCUGCAAUACCCGCCGCAAGGUGGACUGGCUGACUGAGUCCAUGCACGAGCGUGACUUCACGGUGUCGGCCAUGCACGGCGACAUGGACCAGCGCGAGCGCGAGGUCAUCAUGCGGCAGUUCCGUACCGGCUCCUCGCGUGUGCUCAUCACCACCGACCUGCUGGCUCGCGGUAUCGACGUGCAGCAAGUCUCCUGCGUCAUCAACUACGAUCUUCCCACCAACCGCGAGAACUACAUCCAUCGAAUUGGACGAGGUGGACGUUUCGGCCGUAAAGGAAUCGCCAUCAACUUUGUUACUGAAUCAGACAAGAGGGCGCUGAAGGACAUCGAGGACUUCUACCACACAACUAUUACGGAAAUGCCCAGCGAUGUGGCCAACCUCAUCUGAGGUGCCACCAAUCCCCGGUUCAUACUUUGUGUCCUGCGUUCUAUUGCGAUAUAUAUAAGGUAUCUGCCAACUGAGCCUGUUAUGAAACGCACUUUGGACACAUCUAUGUGGAAAUAAUAAAUCAAAAUUUCCUCUAUAA
Molecule: unclassified non-coding RNA, 1540 nt
Filed under: Leguminivora glycinivorella
Lineage: Eukaryota; Metazoa; Arthropoda; Insecta; Lepidoptera; Tortricidae
Description: eukaryotic initiation factor 4A, transcript variant X2
Source: RNAcentral